This 247-nucleotide ribosomal RNA is filed under the name uncultured Latescibacterota bacterium. RNAcentral describes it as "uncultured Latescibacteria bacterium partial 16S ribosomal RNA". It matches the Rfam family "Bacterial small subunit ribosomal RNA", at positions 1138 to 1382 of the family's 1533-position model. The record is from RNAcentral. Lineage: Bacteria; Pseudomonadati; Candidatus Latescibacterota.
CUCUGGGGAGACUGCCGGUGAUAAACCGGAGGAAGGCGGGGAUGACGUCAAGUCCUCAUGGCCCUUACAUCCCGGGCUACACACGUGCUACAAUGGCAGGUACAGAGGGCUGCGAAGCCGCGAGGUGGAGCCAAUCCAUAAAGACUGGCCUCAGUUCAGAUUGCAGGCUGCAACUCGCCUGCAUGAAGUUGGAGUUGCUAGUAACCGCGCGUCAGCUAUAGUGCGGUCGAAUACGUUCCCGGGCCUU